CCUACGGGAGGCAGCAGUGAGGAAUAUUGGUCAAUGGACGCAAGUCUGAACCAGCCAUGCCGCGUGCAGGAAGACGGCUCUAUGAGUUGUAAACUGCUUUUGUACGAGGGUAAACGCAGAUACGCGUAUCUGGCUGAAAGUAUCGUACGAAUAAGGAUCGGCUAACUCCGUGCCAGCAGCCGCGGUAAUACGGAGGAUUCAAGCGUUAUCCGGAUUUAUUGGGUUUAAAGGGUGCGUAGGCGGUCGGAUAAGUUAGAGGUGAAAUCCCGAGGCUCAACUUCGGAAUUGCCUCUGAUACUGGUCGGCUAGAGAGUAGUUGCGGUAGGCGGAAUGUAUGGUUGAGCGGUGAAAUGCUUAGAGAUCAUACAGAACACCGAUUGCGAAGGCAGCUUACCAAGCUACUUCUGACGUUGAGGCACGAAAGCGUGGGGAGCAAACAGGAUUAGCUACCCCUGUAGUC
Molecule: ribosomal RNA, 460 nt
Filed under: uncultured bacterium
Lineage: Bacteria
Description: partial 16S ribosomal RNA
Rfam family: Bacterial small subunit ribosomal RNA
Source: RNAcentral